Molecule: ribosomal RNA, 253 nt
Filed under: uncultured bacterium
Lineage: Bacteria
Description: partial 16S ribosomal RNA
Rfam family: Bacterial small subunit ribosomal RNA
Source: RNAcentral
UACGUAGGGUGCGAGCGUUAAUCGGAAUUACUGGGCGUAAAGCGUGCGCAGGCGGUUAUAUAAGUCAGUUGUGAAAUCCCCGGGCUCAACCUGGGAAUUGCAUCUGUGACUGCAUCGCUAGAGUACGGUAGAGGGGGAUGGAAUUCCACGUGUAGCAGUGAAAUGCGUAGAGAUGUGGAGGAACACCGAUGGCGAAGGCAGCCCCCUGGGCCAAUACUGACGCUCAUGCACGAAAGCGUGGGGAGCAAACAGG